This 797-nucleotide ribosomal RNA is filed under the name uncultured marine thaumarchaeote. RNAcentral describes it as "bacterial SSU rRNA". It matches the Rfam family "Archaeal small subunit ribosomal RNA", at positions 82 to 879 of the family's 1478-position model. Lineage: Archaea; Thermoproteati; Nitrososphaerota. The record is from RNAcentral.
ACGGCUGCUCAGUAACACGUAGUCAACUUACCCUAUGGACGAGGAUAAUCUCGGGAAACUGAGCAUAAUACUCGAUAGAUCAUAAUGCCUGGAACGGUUUAUGGUUGAAAUGAUUCGUCGCCAUAGGAUAGGACCGCGGCCUAUCAGCUUGUUGGUGAGGUAAUGGCCCACCAAGGCGAUUACAGGUACGGGCUCUGAGAGGAGAAGCCCGGAGAUGGGUACUGAGACAAGGACCCAGGCCCUAUGGGGCGCAGCAGGCGAGAAAACUUUGCAAUGUGCGAAAGCACGACAAGGUUAAUCCGAGUGAUUUCCGCUAAAGAAAUCUUUUGCAAGUCAUAAAACCACUAGUGAAUAAGGGGUGGGCAAGUUCUGGUGUCAGCCGCCGCGGUAAAACCAGCACCUCAAGUGGUCAGGAGGAUUAUUGGGCCUAAAGCAUCCGUAGCCGGCUCUGUAAGUUUUCGGUUAAAUCCAUGUGCUCAACGCAUGGGCUGUCGAAAAUACUGCAUAGCUAGGGAGUGGGAGAGGUAGACGGUACUCGGUAGGAAGGGGUAAAAUCCUUUGAUCUAUCGAUGACCACCUGUGGCGAAGGCGGUCUACCAGAACACGUUCGACGGUGAGGGAUGAAAGCUGGGGGAGCAAACCGGAUUAGAUACCCGGGUAGUCCCAGCUGUAAACGAUGCAGACUCGAUGAUGCAUUGGCAUAUGGCCAGUGCAGUGUCGCAGGGAAGCCGUUAAGUCUGCCGCCUGGGAAGUACGUACGCAAGUAUGAAACUUAAAGGAAUUGGCGGGGGGAGCAG